RNAcentral lists this ribosomal RNA (494 nucleotides) under uncultured bacterium. RNAcentral's name for it is "partial 16S ribosomal RNA". It matches the Rfam family "Bacterial small subunit ribosomal RNA", at positions 28 to 507 of the family's 1533-position model. The record is from RNAcentral.
GACGAACGCUGGCGGCGUGCUUAACACAUGCAAGUCGAACGGUGAAGCGCCUUCCUUUUUGGUGGGUGUGGAUGAGUGGCGAACGGGUGAGUAACACGUGAGUAACCUGCCCCCUUCUUCUGGAUAACCGCAUGAAAGUGUGGCUAAUACGGGAUAUUCUGGGUCUGUCGCAUGAUGGGUCUGGGAAAGAUAUUGUUUCGGUGGGGGAUGGGCUCGCGGCCUAUCAGCUUGUUGGUGGGGUGAUGGCCUACCAAGGCGGUGACGGGUAGCCGGCCUGAGAGGGUGGACGGUCACACUGGGACUGAGACACGGCAGAGACUCCUACGGGAGGCAGCAGUGGGGAAUAUUGCACAAUGGGCGCAAGCCUGAUGCAGCGACGCCGCGUGAGGGAUGGAGGCCUUCGGGUUGUGAACCUCUUUCGCCAGUGAAGCAGGCCUGCCUCGUUUGUGGGUGGGUUGACGGUAGCUGGAUAAGAAGCGCCGGCUAACUACGUG